Molecule: ribosomal RNA, 413 nt
Filed under: uncultured prokaryote
Description: bacterial SSU rRNA
Rfam family: Bacterial small subunit ribosomal RNA
Source: RNAcentral
GUGUCAGCAGCCGCGGUAAUACGUAGGGGGCGAGCGUUGCUCGGAAUUACUGGGCGUAAAGGGUGUGUAGGUGGCUGAAUAAGUCAAAGAUGAAAUCCCGAGGCUCAACUUCGGAAUUGUCUUUGAUACUGUUCAGCUUGAGGUUAGUUGAGGAGAGCGGAAUUCCCGGUGGAGCGGUGAAAUGCGUAGAUAUCGGGAGGAACACCUGAGGCGUAGGCGGUUCUCUACACUAAUCCUGACACUGAGACACGAAAGCUAGGGGAGCAAACGGGAUUAGAUACCCCGGUAGUCCUAGCCGUAAACGAUGGACGCUAGAUGUUCCUGCGUUUAUGCGGGAGUGUCGUAGCUAACGCGUUAAGCGUCCCGCCUGGGGAGUACGGUCGCAAGAUUGAAACUCAAAUGAAUUGACGGGG